This 715-nucleotide long non-coding RNA is filed under the name Physcomitrium patens. RNAcentral's name for it is "long non-coding RNA (PPAT_LNC013422)". Lineage: Eukaryota; Viridiplantae; Streptophyta; Bryopsida; Funariales; Funariaceae. The record is from RNAcentral.
UAGGAUUUGUUUUAGGCUUUAGAAUUUGAUUUAGGAUUUAGGAUUUGGUUUAGGAUUUGUUUAGGGUUUGAUAAAGUUUGGUUUUGGGAUUUGGUUAGGAUUUGGUUUAAGGUUUAGAAUUUAGUUAGGAAUUUAUUUAGGAUUUAGAGUUUGGUUAGAGUUUGAUUUAGAAUUUGGUUAGGAUUUGGUUUAGGAUUUAGGAUUUGGUUUAGGGUUUAGAAUUUGGUUUAAGGUUUAGAGUUUGGUUAUGUUUUAAUUUAGGAUUAGGAUUUGAUUAGGGAUUGAUUUAGGGUUUGAUUAGGAUUUGGUUUAGGAUUUAGGUUUUGGUUUAAGAUUUAGGAUUUGGUUUAGAAUUUAGGAUUUGGUUUAGGAUUUAAGGUUUAAUUAAGGUUUGAUUUAAGAUUUAGGAUUUUAUUAGGGUUUGUUUAGAGUUUAAGAUUUAAUUAGUUUUGGCCUAAAGUUUGAAUGAAGUCCAAUAGGAGUUUAACUAAGAUUAAAUUAAGAUUGAAUUAAGAUGUAUUUGAGAUAUAUUUGUGAUCAUUCUAAUAUUUUUUUAAGAUUUAUUAUUAUUUCCUUGAAAUUUCUUUGAGGUUUCUUUGAAUUUGAUUAAAGCUUACUUAACAUUAUUAUGGUCUAAUUAGAAUUUAAUUAAUAUUCUAUUAUAAUUAGGAUUUUUUUGUUGCAAUUUCCAUUCUACCUUCCACAGCCAAGUAUC